AUACGAGGGGUGCAAGCGUUAAUCGGAAUUACUGGGCGUAAAGCGUUCGUAGGCGGUUUGUUAAGCAAGAUGUGAAAGCCCUGGGCUCAACCUGGGAACUGCAUUUUGAACUGGCAAGCUAGAAUACUGCAGAGGGUGGUGGAAUUUCCAGUGUAGCGGUGAAAUGCGUAGAGAUUGGAAGGAACAUCAGUGGCGAAGGCGGCCACCUGGACAGAUAUUGACGCUGAGGAACGAAAGCGUGGGGAGCGAACAGGAUUAGAUACCCCGGUAGUCC
Molecule: ribosomal RNA, 274 nt
Filed under: uncultured bacterium
Lineage: Bacteria
Description: partial 16S ribosomal RNA
Rfam family: Bacterial small subunit ribosomal RNA
Source: RNAcentral